This 205-nucleotide long non-coding RNA is filed under the name Mytilus galloprovincialis (Mediterranean mussel). The record is from RNAcentral. Lineage: Eukaryota; Metazoa; Mollusca; Bivalvia; Mytilida; Mytilidae.
UUAUUAUCUACAAAAUUUCAUGAAAUUCUGUUGUGUAUUUUCAGAGGAGUUGAGAUGACAAACUGUUGCAGAAGUACAUUGAAGCAAAUAAAUUCAAAGGGGCAUAACUCCUAGAAAAAAAAAUUGAACCGUAAUUUCCUGUUGAUAUGCACAUCUACAUAGUAUGUCCUUAUUAUCUACAAAGUUUCAUGAAAUUCUGUUGUGU